Molecule: ribosomal RNA, 253 nt
Filed under: uncultured bacterium
Lineage: Bacteria
Description: partial 16S ribosomal RNA
Rfam family: Bacterial small subunit ribosomal RNA
Source: RNAcentral
UACGGGGGGAGCAAGCGUUGUUCGGAAUCACUGGGCGUAAAGGGCGCGUAGGCGGCUUUAUAAGUCGGGGGUGAAAGCCUGUGGCUCAACCACAGAAUUGCCUUCGAUACUGUUUGGCUUGAGACCGGAAGAGGUUAGUGGAACUGCGAGUGUAGAGGUGAAAUCCGUAGAUAUUCGCAAGAACACCAGUGGCGAAGGCGGCUGACUGGUCCGGUUCUGACGCUGAGGCGCGAAAGCGUGGGGAGCAAACAGG